AUUAACAUAAUCUUCUUUGUCAGCAAAGUUUUAUUCAUAUAAAAAAUAGUAAUCAAAACAAAAAUGAAACCCAGCAAAAGAAUACGCAAAAUUUAAAUAAUUUGUCUGACUUGUGAACUUGAGAGUUGAUAUCUUAGUCGAGUGAAAAAUAUCGUAUAAAUAUACUCUCAAUCGAAAUUCAAUCCAACAGAUACAAAUUUGUCUUUAACCAACUCACUUCAGAGAAAGCACAAUCUUCUUUUCCAAAAUGAAAUUCUUCUUAGUUACACUUUUGGUUUGCUUUGCCAUUAUGUUGGCAGUAGUAUCAGCUGCUCCAUCGGAAGAAGGAAUUUUCGGAGACUUACCCGACAGUGAUAUUGCCAAUCCACAGGAACCAAGUGAAUCACUGAAAUUGUUGCUCCUCAAGAAACUCAAGCUUAAGUUAUUGAAGGGUUAAACUAUUGUACAGUUAAAUUAUGUUUUAUGACUUAUGUACCUAAACUAAAGUUAACUAUUUUUAAGAUAUUGUUACAAUAAAAAAUUAUUUAAUAAGAAA
This is a long non-coding RNA of Eupeodes corollae, 535 nucleotides long. RefSeq lists it as uncharacterized. The record is from RefSeq and is a predicted model, not a curated record. NCBI's taxonomy places the organism in Eukaryota, Metazoa, Arthropoda, Insecta, Diptera, Syrphidae. The transcript is spliced from 2 exons.